UCACCGGCACAAAGUAUCUGGAUUCAGCAUCUCUGUACCUCUAUACAUAGCACCUCACAGCUCUCCUGGAAAGUCCACGCGCUUCUCUGCUCUAUUUGCUGGCCUCCAGAUUCAGAUUUCAGAAACUAGCGAUCGAUCUGAAGCUCGAUCCGGCACCAUCGAUCUGAAGCUCGACCCGCCCUCGUGAACGGUGAACCCAGUAUCAGGGGAAUGCUUGGGAAUGGGAUGGUCGCCGUAAACAUGUUCAAUGAAACGCUCGAUAUUCUUGAGAACAAAUACAAUGAAGAGGUCGGUUGCUUAAUGAAGACGAAGCACAAGAGUUUAGUGUGUUUUCUGGGUUCUCGGACAAGAGGAAUAAUUGUAGACUACGAGGGAGCAUCUUCUAUACUUGUAUGGAGAAAGUGUCAUGAAGUAAUCAAGAGAAUUUGUGAGGGUUUAUAUCAUCUGCAUAUGAAGCAGCGUAAUGUCCAUUUGAAUCUGAAACCAGCGAACAUAUUGUUGGAUGAUAAUAUGGUACCAAAAAUCGCUAACUUUGGACUACAUUUAAAGUCAGACAUAUACAGCUUGGGUGUUAUAAUCAUAAAGAUACUAUCAGGUGAGAAGGGAUAUCGCUAUGUUGAGGAACAACAACCUAUAUGACUACAUUAUUUUACAUUAUAUCAUUCCUUCUUUAAACACUGUGUAAUGUUAUUUUGUUUCAAGAGCACGCAAGAGCUAGCACAUCGAUACUGACCAGGAAUCUUGUGACUACAGGGUUGCCUGAUUGGUUGUCUAAUGAAGGCGAAGCACAAAAACAUAGUACGAUUUCUGGGAUAUUGUGCUUACACACAAGAGACAAUUAAAGUCCGUUAUGGCUUUUAUAUUAAAGAGGUUGCUCUGUUUCGAGUAUCUACCUAAAGGAAGCCUUGAUAAGUAUAUUAUUGGUAUAUCUUCACGUGAAUCGGCGUAUUUUCCACUUACACCAUACACCUGCAAACAUACUUUUAGAUGAGAAUAUGGUACCAAAAAUUACUGAUUUUGGUCUCUCAAGAUGCUUUGAUGAAAAGUAAAGCUAGGCUUAUACUUAGAAGAUAGUAACAUGAAAGAAGGGGCAACACGAUGUUGCAUAUGUAAGAAUAAUCUAUAUGACUAGAUCACUGUACAUUGUAUUCUUUCUUGAUUAGACAUUGCAUAAUUUUAUUCUUUCUCAAAAAACACACAAUUUUUGUUGCUUUGCGUAGUAGUAUCAUUCUUGUAAGCUCAUCCAGUAGGGAAAUGCACAAAUUGCUACAAAAGAAUAUGAAAACAUUUUGGCAUGAGGUGAAAGGUAAUCCCUCUAUUCCAAAAGAAUUGUGCAUAUGGAUGUUGUCCAAAAUCAGACUUUCUAAGCUUUGAAUUUUUUAUGAAAAAAAUCAUUUAUAAUACCUAUUCAGUACCAUUACAUCAGCUUGAAACAUUAUUAUAUUACAGAUGUUGAUAUUUUAAAAAGUUGAGCAAAAAUUUACAAAGUUUGACUUAGGAAAUAAUCUGCAUGAUAUAUGGAUAUAUAUUUUGGAAUAGAGGGAGUAGCACUCGUAUGUGUAAAAAGUGAGCUAAGGUUAUAACUACCACUAUUAUUUACAUGAAACAUCCUACUUUCUUUAACCUAAAAGGUGUAAAUUUUGUUGGGUUUGUAUUCAAUUAGAUACCGUAGAGUCACAAUUAGUUUUUUGGGUGAUAUCCUAGGUAAUUGGUAUUUGUAGAUGUUGUAUUGUGAUCCAAAUUCAUAUACUAAAGGUAGGCUAACUUCUGACGAGCGGAGCGAGGCCCGUCGCUGGAGGCUUGGGCCGAAGCGUUUGAGCUUGGUUGGUAUAACUGUUUAGCCCAAGUGGCUGUUGGCGCCAGCAAGUGUUUUUCCUUUGAUGUUCAGGAGAUUGUUGAAGUUCAUGCUACAAGAUGGAAUUUGUCUCAAGGUGGAGUUUGUUGUAUUGUGAUCCAAAUUCAUAUACUAAAGGGAGGCUAACUUCUGACGAGCGGAGCGAGGCCCGUCGCCGGAG
Lolium perenne is the source of this 2015-nucleotide non-coding RNA. NCBI's taxonomy places the organism in Eukaryota, Viridiplantae, Streptophyta, Magnoliopsida, Poales, Poaceae. The record is from RefSeq and is a predicted model, not a curated record.